Pelobates cultripes (western spadefoot toad) is the source of this 233-nucleotide non-coding RNA. Lineage: Eukaryota; Metazoa; Chordata; Amphibia; Anura; Pelobatidae. The record is from the annotation of a GenBank genome assembly.
UCACAGGCAGACAUUCACACAGACAAUCACAGGUAGACAAUCACAGGCAGUCACACACACACAAACACACACACAAUCAGUCAGAGAGUCACACACACAGAGUCACACAGACAGACAAUCACAGGCAGUCACACACACACAAACACACACACUAUCAGUCAGAGAGUCACACACACAGAAUCACACAGACAAUCACAGGCAGACAAUCACAGGCAGUCACACACACACAAUCA